GAUGAACGCUGGCGGCGUGCCUAAUACAUGCAAGUCGAGCGAACGGACGAGAAGCUUGCUUUUCUGAUGUUAGCGGCGGACGGGUGAGUAACACGUGGAUAACCUACCUAUAAGACUGGGAUAACUUCGGGAAACCGGAGCUAAUACCGGAUAAUAUUUUGAACCGCAUGGUUCAAAAGUGAAAGACGGUCUUGCUGUCACUUAUAGAUGGAUCCGCGCUGCAUUAGCUAGUUGGUAAGGUAACGGCUUACCAAGGCAACGAUGCAUAGCCGACCUGAGAGGGUGAUCGGCCACACUGGAACUGAGACACGGUCCAGACUCCUACGGGGGGCAGCAGUAGGGAAUCUUCCGCAAUGGGCGAAAGCCUGACGGAGCAACGCCGCGUGAGUGAUGAAGGUCUUCGGAUCGUAAAACUCUGUUAUUAGGGAAGAACAUAUGUGUAAGUAACUGUGCACAUCUUGACGGUACCUAGUCAGAAAGCCACGGCUAACUACGUG
RNAcentral lists this ribosomal RNA (497 nucleotides) under uncultured bacterium. Its description in RNAcentral is "partial 16S ribosomal RNA". It matches the Rfam family "Bacterial small subunit ribosomal RNA", at positions 28 to 507 of the family's 1533-position model. The record is from RNAcentral.